UGGGCUUGACAUGCAGGGGAAACGCCCCAGAAACGGGGCGCCCUCUUCGGAGUCCCUGCACAGGUGCUGCAUGGCUGUCGUCAGCUCGUGUCGUGAGAUGUUGGGUUAAGUCCCGCAACGAGCGCAACCCCCGUCCCUAGUUACCAGCGGGUCAUGCCGGGCACUCUAGGGAGACUGCCGGUGCCAAACCGGAGGAAGGUGGGGAUGACGUCGUAUCUCACUG
This 223-nucleotide unclassified non-coding RNA is filed under the name uncultured Gemmatimonadaceae bacterium. RNAcentral's name for it is "contains 16S-23S intergenic spacer region". It matches the Rfam family "Bacterial small subunit ribosomal RNA", at positions 976 to 1198 of the family's 1533-position model. The record is from RNAcentral. Lineage: Bacteria; Pseudomonadati; Gemmatimonadota; Gemmatimonadia; Gemmatimonadales; Gemmatimonadaceae.